AAGAAAUACACAUUUAUUAGCUA
RNAcentral lists this small nuclear RNA (23 nucleotides) under Arabidopsis thaliana (thale cress). Its description in RNAcentral is "snRNA_10485". Lineage: Eukaryota; Viridiplantae; Streptophyta; Magnoliopsida; Brassicales; Brassicaceae. The record is from RNAcentral.